This 479-nucleotide ribosomal RNA is filed under the name uncultured bacterium. RNAcentral describes it as "bacterial SSU rRNA". It matches the Rfam family "Bacterial small subunit ribosomal RNA", at positions 774 to 1244 of the family's 1533-position model. The record is from RNAcentral.
AGUGAAUAGAUACCCGGGUAGUCCUAGCCGUAAACGAUGGAUACUAGGUGUUAGAGGUAUCGACCCCUCUAGUGCCGAAAGCUAAACGCAUUAAGUAUCCCGCCUGGGGAGUACGACCGCAAGGUUGAAACUCAAAGAAUUGACGGGGCCCGCGACAAGCGGUGGAGCAUGUGGUUUAAUACGUCACUAACCGUAGAACCUUACCCAGGCUUGACAUCUGCUGAAAGUGCCUGAAAGGGUUACCCCUGUAUAGCAAUAUACAGCAGCAAGACAGGUGUUGCAUGGCUGUCGUCAGCUCGUGUCGUGAGAUGUUGGGUUAAAGUCCCGCAACGAGCGCAACCCUCAUCCGAUGUUGCCAGCGUAAAGUCGGGAACUCUUCGGAAACUGCCCGUGUAAGCGGAGGAAGGUGGGGAUGACGUCAAGUCAGCAUGGCCCUUACGCCUGGGGCGUACACACAUGCUACAAUGGGCGUUAACAAU